This is a long non-coding RNA of Parus major (Great Tit), 3573 nucleotides long. RefSeq lists it as uncharacterized. The transcript has 4 exons. The record is from RefSeq and is a predicted model, not a curated record. NCBI's taxonomy places the organism in Eukaryota, Metazoa, Chordata, Aves, Passeriformes, Paridae.
UUAUGCAUGUUGCACCUCCUUCCCUGACUGCCUUGCAGUUUUGUAAAGCUUUGGUUUUGUGGAGAACCCAAAGGCAGGCAUCAAUACUUGGUAGGCAUAAAGCUAUGGGAGUUGCUGUAGUCAUGGAGAGAAAUGGGAGAUGGCAGGAGAGACACUUUAACAGACCAGAGGAUUCAAGACCUAAUUGAUUAACUCGCUCCAAGGAAGCAUCAGUGGCUGAUGUGUGGAGGGGAAGACUGUGGGGGCAUACAGAAGAGGCCAAAGCUGCUUGGAUGGAAUUAUGUGAAAAGAUUGCAGUCCUCUGGCUGUUCCUUGAGCAACAGGAUCGAAUACCUUCUCUUGCAGGGCUGCAUGCAACAGGAAAUAAAGUCAGACACGAUAUAUUUUAUACCAGCUGUGAAAGAAUGAAGAUCUUCUGCCUUCAGCCUUGGGAAGAAUUUUAGCAACUGCAUAUUAAUGAAGCCGUAGAACAUAAUCACGGGCUUAGUCUUCUGCCAAACGUGGUGAAUUGGUGAAUUGAGGCCUUAGUGGCCUCUCUGACCUUCAGAUGGAAUAAUCUGGUCAGCCAUAAUCAAAUCACAAACUCUUGAUAAUUUCAACCCCCUUUUAGACACUUCUCUUGUUUCAAUUAACAAUCCAUUACAACUGAAAGGCAAGGCAGAGGAAAUCACGUGUCUAGCUUCUUCCUGGGUCUGGGAAACUAGUUGCUGAAUGUGUCACUUUAAUAAAACCCAUGGGAAACUUGGAAGGCUUGGAUUUAUUCUGUUGUUAUUAAAAGAAUGUUUUAGUAGAGUGCAUAACUUGAUUUUUUUUCUGCUUGCCAUUUGAUCAAGUAAACUUGAUUUCCACGUGUUCAAUUGCCUUUGCCUGCAAAGCUGCUUCACUCCUUUAAAUAAUAAUUUCAUUUUGGUUCAGCUUUUACAGAGAACAUUGGAUUCCUUUUUUUGAAUUUUAAAUCAAGGACUAAGCAAAAUAUAGGGCUUACAUUGCUGGACCUGGUUUCCAUUGACAUUAUGGCCUAUUGAUGUUCAUCAAAUUUUGUAACCAGACUAUGGAGUUGAUGUGAAUAAAGUUAAGGUCCAGUUUCAGGGUCCUUUGCUCUUGCAGAGGACAGUAGAAGGGCAUGGUAUGAACUCAAAUCAGGUCCUCAUGAUAUAUUUUUGUCUGAAGUAACUGUACUAGAAACAGCUGAAUAUUGUCUGAAGGGAGUAGUUUGACCUACAGUUGCAUCAGUAUGCAAAGGAGGUGACUCCAAACAGCUGGACAAUCAUAAACAUUUUCUAAAUCAGAUUUUAUAGUGAAGGGUGAUUACAAAGUGACUAUUUGCUGUGUAUUUAACCAGUAAUUGCUCAGAUCACUAUUUGGGUUAUUUCACUACUAUUUAAUUAUAGCAUUUUAAAAAUGAGAAGCAUUUGAGAAUGUUCAUCUAGGAGUGGUGCAUCACUGCAUAUUUUACAAUUUUUUUUACUCUGAACAUACCAAAAUGAGGCCCAUCCAAUGCAUUUCUUCAUUAGGCUCCCAACAAAGUGCAAGACUUGACCAUUAGCAUUAAAGCUGCUCCUAAAGGCAGAAGGCAGAGGCUGCUAGUCAGCACUCCAGUGUCAGCCCAGCUCUGCCCCUAUUAUUGUGGCCUGAGGCAUGGUGAUUGGGAAAAUCCCAUAAUAAUACGAUCUCUCUUGUGUUUUCCCAUUGAGACAUCAAGAUUUGCAUUACAUGUGUAAAAAGUCCCGGGGUUAAUGACUACCUCUAGGACCCUUGAGGUUCAUGAGAACUUGCGAAUUUUUUUAUGUGUUUACCCUGUGUUUUUUGUUUCUGGUGCCAGCAUUUAGGCUCUGUGACAAUAUACCUCCAUUGCAGUUGUUUGCUCAGGGUUUGCCUGUUUUGGUUAGCUUUACUGUCAGUUCCAUACCUUUCUAGCGACUGUUUUUUUCAAAAUAUCUAUCUACAUCCUGGUCAUACUUAAUUUCCUAAUACUCAACCCAAAUAACUCCCAUCUGAAUUUGUUUCCUUUUCUUUCCAUUUCUUUUUUGAGCAUUUCUCCAUUUUUGCAAUUUCUAUGGCGUUGUUUGGUUGUCCUGAAUGCUACCAGUGGUGCUCACACAGGUAAACCCAGCACACAUAUUUCCCUCUUCACCCUCUAAGACUAUAUAAUGCAGUACAGUUGCUCAACAAAUUAUGAAAAGACUAAAUGAAUACUCAUGUCAUGAAAACAAAUUCCUUUUCAAGUGAAUUUUACUUGAUGAAAUAUCCACAAUUACAACAUGAUCUUUAUACUUAUGUCCAAAUUUUAGGUACAUGAAAAAUAGAAUACAAAACUUUUUCUUUUUUUUUUUUUUUUAAAUUACAGGUAACCAGGAAUUCCAAUUUGCUUGAGGAACACAGGUUAUAUUUUUUUGGAAGCAAAGGUUCAUACAUGUUAAAACAUGGACACAAAUUAAAAGUAAGCCUUUUAAAGCUGGAAUCCAGGAUUUUUUAUUUUUUUUUCACACAUGAAACAUUAAAAAGAGUUUUGUGAAAUGACAUUGAAAAGACUGCUGGUGAGAUUCAUAAAAUAAUAACUAAUUUUAACACGUGCUGUGUCAUUGUAUCUGAGAGGAACAAAAGGACAUUCAAUGAAUUUUGAAGGAAACAAAUUUAAAACCAAUAAAAUGAUUUUUCCUUUAGUACAAUGACUAACUGGCAUACUUAUGUCAUUACUACAAGAUACAGUAUCAGAAAUAAACAUUUCUGUGAAUAAGGAGAACAGUUAUAUUAGGCUGUAUAGAUAAUUUAUGUGGGGUAUAAACUCUCAUGAUUCAGGACAUAAACCACCUAUUAAAUAACAGGGGUUGAUAAAACAUGUUCCCUAAGCACAGAGUAAUCUUACAUGGUGCUCCUCUUUGCUGUGACACAUUUUGAGGUAGUGCUGAAUCUUGAAAUAAAGGUACGAAAUUAUGUGGAACAAUGAUACAAUUAAGCGUGGCAACUAUUUUGCUCAAACAUACUGUUUCUGAGCAUAAGCAGUCACAGAAAAUAUCCAACAUCUCUGAUCUUGAUGAUGAUGAAACUUUAAAGCUUUUACCUUAAUAUUCCUUUUUUGAAAAAAAAAAAUAAAUAAAAAAAUAGGGUUUGAUACCCAGCCCUCUUCUCCAAUGUUCCUAGUUUUCUAUCUGAUGUAUUGACUCACCUCAGAUAGGCCAGAUAAUCUCCACCAUUAAACUCUUUCUCUUUGCUCUUCCUUUUCCUUAAUUUCACACCCUGAAUAUAAAGUAAAGCUGAAGGCAACUGCCUGUGGUUUGUCCUGUUGUUUCCUAAACAGGAAAACAUGUGAUGUGGCAAAGUUCUUGUCCUACUUAUCUUAAUUCAAAAUGUUUUACCCUUUUAAUCCUACAGGGACAUUUUGCAGAAACUUCACACCUCCGUGUCACUUUCUGUUUAGUUUCAAGGUUGUCUGAAUUGCAAUUAAUUGACAUCUGGACUUUUAUUUGAGACAAUGUCAUCUCCUGAGAAUGUUUCUGGAUGACACAAAGUUAUCUCUUAGUUGUUGAUGUUUAAUUAGAGAUUCCAAUUAAUUAUUCUAUAUGUCCCUUCAUA